UACGUAGGGUGCGAGCGUUAAUCGGAAUUACUGGGCGUAAAGCGUGCGCAGGCGGUUUUGUAAGCCAGAUGUGAAAUCCCCGGGCUCAACCUGGGAAUGGCAUUUGGGACUGCAAAGCUGGAGUGCGGCAGAGGGGACUGGAAUUCCUGGUGUAGCAGUGAAAUGCGUAGAGAUCAGGAGGAAUACCGAUGGCGAAGGCAGGUCCCUGGGUUGACACUGACGCUCAUGCACGAAAGCGUGGGGAGCAAACAGG
RNAcentral lists this ribosomal RNA (253 nucleotides) under uncultured bacterium. RNAcentral's name for it is "partial 16S ribosomal RNA". It matches the Rfam family "Bacterial small subunit ribosomal RNA", at positions 524 to 776 of the family's 1533-position model. The record is from RNAcentral.